UGGGCGUACAGGGCUCGCAGGCGGUUUCUUAAGUCUGAUGUGAAAGCCCCCGGCUCAACCGGGGAGGGUCAUUGGAAACUGGGAAACUUGAGUGCAGAAGAGGAGAGUGGAAUUCCACGUGUAGCGGUGAAAUGCGUAGAGAUGUGGAGGAACACCAGUGGCGAAGGCGACUCUCUGGUCUGUAACUGACGCUGAGGAGCGAAAGCGUGGGGAGCGAACAGGAUUAGAUACCCUGGUAGUCCACGCCGUAAACGAUGAGUGCUAAGUGUUAGGGGGUUUCCGCCCCUUAGUGCUGCAGCUAACGCAUUAAGCACUCCGCCUGGGGAGUACGGUCGCAAGACUGAAACUCAAAGGAAUUGACGGGGGCCCGCACAAGCGGUGGAGCAUGUGGUUUAAUUCGAAGCAACGCGAAGAACCUUACCAGGUCUUGACAUCCUCUGACAACCCUAGAGAUAGGGCUUUCCCUUCGGGGACAGAGUGACAGGUGGUGCAUGGUUGUCGUCAGCUCGUGUCGUGAGAUGUUGGGUUAAGUCCCGCAACGAGCGCAACCCUUGAUCUUAGUUGCCAGCAUUCAGUUGGGCACUCUAAGGUGACUGCCGGUGACAAACCGGAGGAAGGUG
This 620-nucleotide ribosomal RNA is filed under the name Bacillus pumilus. Its description in RNAcentral is "bacterial SSU rRNA". It matches the Rfam family "Bacterial small subunit ribosomal RNA", at positions 555 to 1175 of the family's 1533-position model. Lineage: Bacteria; Bacillati; Bacillota; Bacilli; Caryophanales; Bacillaceae. The record is from RNAcentral.